UCCAGACUCCUACGGGAGGCAGCAGUGAGGAAUAUUGGUCAAUGGCCGCAGGGCUGAACCAGCCAAGUCGCGUGAGGGAUGACGGUCCUAUGGAUUGUAAACCUCUUUUGUCAGGGAGCAAAGGGCGCCACGUGUGGCGUUUUGCGAGUACCUGAAGAAAAAGCAUCGGCUAACUCCGUGCCAGCAGCCGCGGUAAUACGGAGGAUGCGAGCGUUAUCCGGAUUUAUUGGGUUUAAAGGGUGCGCAGGCGGAAUGUCAAGUCAGCGGUAAAAUUUCGGGGCUCAACCCCGUCGUGCCGUUGAAACUGGCGUUCUUGAGUGAGCGAGAAGUGUGCGGAAU
Molecule: ribosomal RNA, 339 nt
Filed under: uncultured bacterium
Lineage: Bacteria
Description: bacterial SSU rRNA
Rfam family: Bacterial small subunit ribosomal RNA
Source: RNAcentral